This is a long non-coding RNA of Hirundo rustica (Barn swallow), 2040 nucleotides long. RefSeq lists it as uncharacterized. The record is from RefSeq and is a predicted model, not a curated record. The transcript has 3 exons. Lineage: Eukaryota; Metazoa; Chordata; Aves; Passeriformes; Hirundinidae.
GGGAGAAGGAGGAUCAUGAAGAAGAAGGAUCCUGAGGAGAAUCCCGUCUGUGAGAGGAGAAGAAGGGUUCGGAACUUUGAGGGGGUGUGUGGUGGACAAUAUAAACCCAGAAUUUUGGUUGUGCUUCUGCCUGGUGCUGGAGAAGUCCAUCUUGCUUGAGCUGAGUGUGCAUAAUUUGUGCAUAAUUCCACCCAUCCCGAGUUCUGCUGCUGCAAUAAAAUAUCCUGAGCUUCCCACCUCCCCAUGUUUCCUUGAGUUCCUGGAAGCUGGGUGUCAAAUUCCCCCGAAACACUUCUGGCAUUUUAACCUCCUCUGUAUUUAUUAGUUUUAACCACAUAGCACAUGCAAGCAUUGCUGGAUUUCAGGUCAGUUAUUGUUUGUGACUUGAUCUCAAUUAUUGCUCUAAUAUAUAUAUAUCUCAAGAGGCCUCUGUUCUAUUCAUGUUUUCCUACAAAGCUGGAAGAUGCAGCACAAUUGUUCCGAUGCAAUGGAUUUUUGAGUGCAUGGCGGAUGUUCUAAAUCAGAAUAUUUUCUCUUUGAGAAAAUGCCAACAGAAAAAGAUGGUUUAUUUAAGAAGCAAGAUUAAAUCCUUCACUUGGCAGAAGGACUAUUUGAGCUUGAUAUCAAACUUUGCAGAUCCAUCACGCCCUGCUUGUUCCUCAAUAGCCUGGAAGGAGUCACUGAGUUGCAGCUCGAUUUCAAUAUUAAAAAAAAAAUCCCGUUUGCAUUUUGGCAGCCUAGGCUGUGUUUACACCAACCCUCCCAGUUCCGAAUUUCAUACUGCUUCACCUUGUAGGUGCUUCAAACUUAAACCUGCCCUGGCCAGCUGCUGAAUAUGCAGGAAGGUGAAUCCCAGUGUCUGUUUGUGUGUUUGCCGCUGUCUCUCAUGCAAAUGGAGCUGUCCUGGUGGCCAUUCACACCUGCUCAGGGCCCAUAUGCACAUACAGCUUCUCAUGCGGAUUAUAAAUUCUACCCCAUGGCCUGGAGACUGAAAAAUCCCGCUCAAAAUCACCCCGGUGUUUUUUGCUAAAAUGGUUUUGCCUCGUUCUGCGUCAGCAAUCCGCGUUUUGUUUUGGGGUUCUUUUUUUUAGGUGAUUUUCCUGGGGUUCUAGAAAGCACAUCACUAUUGGUGACAUCCCUAAGCGCAUUCCUGUGACCCGGAAUUCGCACCAAACAAAUAAUAUGCCAGGCACAACCUUUAUUUAUUAAUGGUUUUAAUGUUCAUGGUUUGGGCUCCUGUUCCUCAUAGGGAAUAUGCAGGUGGAGACAUCCCCGAGUUUAACUAGUUUGCAUCAGUCAUUUGAAGCCACUUGUAAAAUCAUCCCAGCAAUGUUACCCUCAGUGAAUUGAAUUAUCAUUUUUCCACCCAUUUUCUAAAGAUGGAGUGAAAGGACUGUUUGUCUGUUUCCUGAAAAAACAAACCCAAAAUCAGUAGGAUGUGUUUUAGUAUGAUGCAGGUGCAUCAAUAAUCAAUAAUAACCGAAGUCAGCGGUAUAACAACAUCGUAAAAUUGGCAUCAAUGGUGGUUUAGUGUGAAUUCUAUAUGCUUUAUCAUCUAUAAUUUCAUCACGUUGUCAUUAACCACUCUUAAAGUGGGAAGACAGCAGGGAUUAAUUCAAAGCAGAGUCUUCUCAAACAUGUCCUGUUCCUAUGCCUCAAACUUCAGCAAUGAGAGCACAAACUGCCUUGUGUGCAGAGCAAAUUUCUGGGGAAGACUCAUAAUUGUGUGAUAUUACCUGACUGCUAAAUAAAUAGACCAAGUUGGGCUCUGUGAUGUCUAAUUCCUGCCUGCAACUCCGCUGCUGUUUAAGUGGAAAUACUGAUCCAGUCUCACACAACGACCGCAAAAACAAAACAGGGAGAUUUUUUUUUUUUCCAGUUUCAUCUCGUUCUCGCUUUAAAUUGCCCGGUGAUUGUGUCUGCCCCCGGGUGCGUGUACACACAUGUGUUUGUCCUAUCUGCAACAUUUAUAUCAAUCUGUAAAACACCAGAAUUUGGGGAGCACCGCGUGAGAAGCUAAACAGUAUUGAUCCCUCUAAG